AGACUCCUCUGCGGGAGAGGAGAAUAGCUGUACUCUAAGCAGUUCGCAGGGAGCAUCUUUCAGCAGCUGAAACAGCUUUGCGGCCUUGCUGUAAUGAAGAUCUGCCAGCACCCGGUGUUGUUUCCUAAGGUGUUCAUCACCAACCUAGAACCAAACCAAAACAAGCAACAAAUCCUUCACGAGAAAGAAAGAAAACAACUGUGUAAGCAGACAUCAGUGUAAACCUUAGCACUGUCUCUUGAUGAGAUAAGAGGAGGAUGGCAGUGACAGGAGUGUGGUGGCGAGCCAGUCACCUGCAGUCAACCACGGCUCAUUGCUCUCACCAUGCCUGUUACAUGAAGGUAUGUAUGUAUAGGAAAAAGCACUGAAAAACUCUCCAGUUUCAGGCAUCCACUGGGGAUCUUGGAACGCAUCCUCCAAGGAUAAGUGGGGUCUACUGUACAACACUUAAGUAUAACCCUCUUCACUAUUAACCAAAUGAUAUUAAAAUAAGCAAAGAAAAACA
Molecule: long non-coding RNA, 505 nt
Filed under: Homo sapiens (human)
Lineage: Eukaryota; Metazoa; Chordata; Mammalia; Primates; Hominidae
Description: EDRF1 antisense RNA 1
Source: RNAcentral